AGAAUCAACGCUGGCGGCGUGCCUCAGACAUGCAAGUCGAACGCGAAAGGCCCCUUCGGGGGCUGAGCAGAGUGGCGCACGGGUGAGUAACACGUAGGUAAUUUGCCUUUGGGUGGGGAAUAACUCAGGGAAACUUGAGCUAAUACCGCAUAAUGCAGCGGCUCGACAUCGAGACAGUUGUUAAAGCGGGGGAUCGCAAGACCUCGCGCCUGAAGAGAAGCCUGCGGCAGAUUAGCUAGUUGGUAGGGUAAUGGCCUACCAAGGCGACGAU
Molecule: ribosomal RNA, 271 nt
Filed under: uncultured soil bacterium
Lineage: Bacteria
Description: partial 16S ribosomal RNA
Rfam family: Bacterial small subunit ribosomal RNA
Source: RNAcentral